Molecule: non-coding RNA, 29 nt
Filed under: Mus musculus (house mouse)
Lineage: Eukaryota; Metazoa; Chordata; Mammalia; Rodentia; Muridae
Source: RNAcentral
UUAACUACAAAUGGUUCUGUAAUGCUUGC